CCCAGACUCCUACGGGAGGCAGCAGUGGGGGAUAUUGCACAAUGGGGGAAACCCUGAUGCAGCGACGCCGCGUGAGUGAAGAAGUAAUUCGUUACGUAAAGCUCUAUCAGCAGGGAAGAAAAUGACGGUACCUGACUAAGAAGCCCCGGCUAACUACGUGCCAGCAGCCGCGGUAAUACGUAGGGGGCAAGCGUUAUCCGGAUUUACUGGGUGUAAAGGGAGCGUAGACGGCAGCGCAAGUCUGAAGUGAAAUGCCGGGGCUUAACCCCGGAACUGCUUUGGAAACUGAGCAGCUAGAGUGCAGGAGAGGUAAGUGGAAUUCCUAGUGUAGCGGUGAAAUGCGUAGAUAUUAGGAGGAACACCAGUGGCGAAGGCGGCGUACUGGACUGUAACUGACGUUGAGGCUCGAAAGCGUGGGGAGCAAACAGGAUUAGAUACCCUUGUAGGG
Molecule: ribosomal RNA, 448 nt
Filed under: uncultured bacterium
Lineage: Bacteria
Description: partial 16S ribosomal RNA
Rfam family: Bacterial small subunit ribosomal RNA
Source: RNAcentral